GCAAGCGUCGUCUAGUGGCAGGACACCAGGAGCUCGAAAGGGCGUACCGGUUCUCGAACCUCGCCCGGCGCCUCGGCGUCGGGCCGAUGCGAAUCGUUAUCGUAAACUUGGCUGUGCCGGUUCGAUUCCGGCCGCUUGCACCA
RNAcentral lists this transfer RNA (143 nucleotides) under Kofleriaceae bacterium. RNAcentral describes it as "tRNA-OTHER". It matches the Rfam family "tRNA". Rfam says of the family: Transfer RNA (tRNA) molecules are approximately 80 nucleotides in length. Their secondary structure includes four short double-helical elements and three loops (D, anti-codon, and T loops). Further hydrogen bonds mediate the characteristic L-shaped molecular structure. tRNAs have two regions of fundamental functional importance: the anti-codon, which is responsible for specific mRNA codon recognition, and the 3' end, to which the tRNAs corresponding amino acid is attached (by aminoacyl-tRNA synthetases). tRNAs cope with the degeneracy of the genetic code in two manners: having more than one tRNA (with a specific anti-codon) for a particular amino acid; and 'wobble' base-pairing, i.e. permitting non-standard base-pairing at the 3rd anti-codon position. The record is from RNAcentral. Lineage: Bacteria; Pseudomonadati; Myxococcota; Haliangiales; Kofleriaceae.